This is a long non-coding RNA of Lolium rigidum, 1077 nucleotides long. RefSeq lists it as uncharacterized. Lineage: Eukaryota; Viridiplantae; Streptophyta; Magnoliopsida; Poales; Poaceae. The transcript has 3 exons. The record is from RefSeq and is a predicted model, not a curated record.
GCCGUCGGUAGAGGCAGGGCGGAGAUCGACACCUCGGCGCCGUUCGAUUCGGUGCGGGAGGCCGUCGACCGCUUCGGUGGCAGCGCCGCAUCUUCUCCUCCCCUCGUCCGCCGCAUCUUCGCGACCACAAGAAACAGGACCAGCGUGUGGUGGGGACUGAAGAGGACGAGCAAUGCAUCAGCCUGGAGGAGCAGACCGCGCAGCUAGAGAAGGAGCUCAGGGUCAAAGAAAGGGAGACGCUCGAUGUGCUCUAGGAACUGGAGUCGGCCAAGAGGGUUAUCGCGGAUUAGAAGCUCAAGAUACACAAGAAAACAAUUGAGAUCAUGUAGAACCUGACGAGAAGCAGUAGCCUGAGGAUAACAACUGCUCUAUCGCUGAAUUGCCCACGACAGAACCUGAAGAGGAGAAGCUGUCUGCGGGAAAUGCUGAAGCUGAUGUGGAGAUGUGUGGCGGUCUCGACGAACACUCACAGCAGCAGCACCCUGACUCGGUUCUCAUGGAGCUCGAGCGGGCAAAGUCAAACCUGAACAGAACCACAAUUACUGGACUAGUAACCACAAAAGCUGAUGUCUUCAGCUGUGGUGUCAUUUUGAUGGAGCUGGUCACCGGACGGAGGGCGCUUGAUGACACGUAGCCUGAGGAUAGCAUGCACCUAGUUACAUGGUUCCGGAGAAUGACCUUGACGGGAGACCUUUGCCAGCGUUAGCACCGUCGCACAGCUGGCCGGUCACGGUGGGACAAAAAUCGCUGUCAAGCGAAUGGAGUCUGGUGUUAUGGGCAACAAGGGGCUGAAUGAGUUCAAAUCAGAGAUAUCUGUGCCGACCAAGCUCCGUCAUCGGAAUCUGGUGUCACUGCUUGGAUAUUUCCUUGAUGGUAAUGAGAGGAUUCUUGUAUAUGAGUACAUGCCACAUGGGCCAGUCAAACAUCUGUUUGAGUGGAAAGAACACAAUUCACAGCCCUUGGAAUGGAAGAAACGACUGAGCACUGCCCUUGAUGUUGCGAGAGGUGUUGAGUACCUGCACAGCCUUGCACCGUCAAUCAGUGGAAGUGUGUAUCAGUGGAGACAAGACUUGCUGG